RNAcentral lists this ribosomal RNA (497 nucleotides) under uncultured bacterium. RNAcentral describes it as "partial 16S ribosomal RNA". It matches the Rfam family "Bacterial small subunit ribosomal RNA", at positions 28 to 507 of the family's 1533-position model. The record is from RNAcentral.
GAUGAACGCUGGCGGCGUGCCUAAUACAUGCAAGUCGAGCGAACAGAUAAGGAGCUUGAUCCUUAGACGUUAGCGGCGGAACGGUGAGUAACACGUGGGUACCCUCCCUAUAAUACUGGGAUAACUUCGUGAAACCGGAGCUAAUACCGGAUAACAUUUGGAACCGCAUGGUUCUAAAGGGAACGAUGGUUUUGCUAUCACUUAUAGAUGGACCCGCGCCGUAUUAGCUCGUUGGUAAGGUAACGGCUUACCAGGGCGACGAUACGUAGCCGACCUGAGAGGGUGAUUGGCCCCCCUGGAUCCGAGAGAGUGGCCAGAGUAUUACGGGAGGCAGCAGAAGGGAAUCUUCCGCAAUAGUCGGAAGCCUGACGCAGCAACCUCGCUUCAGUGAUGAAGGGUUUCGGCCCGGAACACACUGAUACUAGGGAAGAACAACUGUGUAAGUAACUGUGAACGGCUUGACUGUAACUAGUAAGAAAGCCACGGCUAACUCCGUG